This 468-nucleotide ribosomal RNA is filed under the name uncultured bacterium. RNAcentral describes it as "partial 16S ribosomal RNA". It matches the Rfam family "Bacterial small subunit ribosomal RNA", at positions 28 to 507 of the family's 1533-position model. The record is from RNAcentral.
GACGAACGCUGGCGGCGUGCUUAACACAUGCAAGUCGAACGGAAAGGCCCUGCUUUUGUGGGGUGCUCUGGUGGCGAACGGGUGAGUAACACGUGAGUAACCUGCCCUUGACUUUGGGAUAACUUCAUGAAACUUGGGCUAAUACCGGCUAGGAGCUCCUGCUGCAUGGUGGGGGUUGGAAAGUUUCGGCGGUUGGGGAUGGACUCGCGGCUUAUCAGCUUGUUGGUGGGGUAGUGGCUAACCAAGGCCUGGACGGGUAGCCGGCCUGAGAGGGUGACCGGCCACAUUGGGACUGAGAUACGGCCCAGACUCCUACGGGAGGCAGCAGUGGGGAAUAUUGCACAAUGGGCGGAAGCCUGAUGCAGCAACGCCGCGUGCGGGAUGACGGCCUUCGGGUUGUAAACCGCUUUCGCCUGUGACGAAGCGUGAGUGACGGUAAUGGGUAAAGAAGCACCGGCUAACUACGUG